UGAUAUGCAAAGAAGAGGAUUAGUAGAAAUGAUAUUUUUUUAAGAGAGGAAACGGGUGGUGAAAGUUUCUAAAUGUACAUUUUGAACCUACCUUUGAGUUCUGUUAGAAUACAGCGGUAAUUGCCGUUAUAAUUAUAAUUGAGAGAAUAUGUUUAAUGUUUUAAAUAUAUUAAUCAGGGUGGUACCGCCGAUAUAACCUCGGUCCCUUUU
This 210-nucleotide non-coding RNA is filed under the name Clostridium autoethanogenum. RNAcentral's name for it is "T-box sequence". It matches the Rfam family "T-box leader". Rfam says of the family: Uncharged tRNA acts as the effector for transcription antitermination of genes in the T-box leader family. T-boxes are found upstream of many aminoacyl-tRNA synthetase genes and some amino acid biosynthetic genes usually in Gram-positive bacteria. The record is from RNAcentral. Lineage: Bacteria; Bacillati; Bacillota; Clostridia; Eubacteriales; Clostridiaceae.